ACGGGUGAGUAACGCGUGGGCAACCUGCCCUAUCGCUCGGGAUAACCCUCGGAAACGAGGGCUAAUACCGGAUGCUGUCUUGGAGUCGCAUGACUCUAAGACGAAAGGGUUACCGCGAUAGGAUGGGCCCGCGUCCCAUUAGCUAGUUGGUAGGGUAACGGCCUACCAAGGCGACGAUGGGUAGCCGGCCUGAGAGGGUGGACGGCCACACUGGGACUGAGACACGGCCCAGACUCCUACGGGAGGCAGCAGUAGGGAAUCUUGCACAAUGGGCGGAAGCCUGAUGCAGCGACGCCGCGUGGGGGAUGAAGGUCUUCGGAUCGUAAACCCCUGUCCUUGGGGACGAUGAUGACGGUACCCAAGGAGGAAGCCCCGGCUAACUACGUGCCAGCAGCCGCGGUAAAACGUAGGGGGCGAGCGUUGUCCGGAAUUACUGGGCGUAAAGGGUGCGUAGGCGGCCGUUUAAGUCCUGUGUGAAAGGCCCCGGCUUAACCGGGGAAGGUCAUGGGAAACUGGGCGGCUUGAGUGCCGGAGCGGGUUGCGGAAUUCCAGGUGUAGCGGUGAAAUGC
RNAcentral lists this ribosomal RNA (569 nucleotides) under uncultured bacterium. RNAcentral describes it as "bacterial SSU rRNA". It matches the Rfam family "Bacterial small subunit ribosomal RNA", at positions 102 to 689 of the family's 1533-position model. The record is from RNAcentral.